CUUGCCCAAGGCUAGGCGGGGCAGUCUCGUGCCGCCCCACGGGUGGGUGAAGAAGGCCUCGGGUUGAAAGCCUUUUGUGGGAAAGAAUCCAGCCGGCUAUACUGGUUGGGUGACGGUACCCAAAGAUAAGCACCGGCUAACUUCGUGCCAGCAGCCGCGGUAAUACGAAGGGUGCAAGCGUUACUCGGAAUUACUGGGCGUAAAGCGUGCGUAGGUGGUCGUUUAAGUCCGUUGUGAAAGCCCUGGGCUCAACCUGGGAACUGCAGUGGAUACUGGAUGACUAGAAUGUGGUAGAGGGUAGCGGAAUUCCUGGUGUAGCAGUGAAAUGCGUAGAGAUCAGGAGGAACAUCCAUGGCGAAGGCAGCUACCUGGACCAACAUUGACACUGAGGCACGAAAGCGUGGGGAGCAAACAGGAUUAGAUACCCUGGUAGUCCACGCCCUAAACGAUGCGAACUGGAUGUUGGGUGCAAUUUGGCACGCAGUAUCGAAGCUAACGCGUUAAGUUCGCCGCCUGGGGAGUACGGUCGCAAGACUGAAACUCAAAGGAAUGACGGGG
Molecule: ribosomal RNA, 558 nt
Filed under: Stenotrophomonas sp. KNF10
Lineage: Bacteria; Pseudomonadati; Pseudomonadota; Gammaproteobacteria; Lysobacterales; Lysobacteraceae
Description: bacterial SSU rRNA
Rfam family: Bacterial small subunit ribosomal RNA
Source: RNAcentral